This 355-nucleotide long non-coding RNA is filed under the name Ictidomys tridecemlineatus (thirteen-lined ground squirrel). Its description in RNAcentral is "lncRNA (ENSSTOG00000034463.1)". Lineage: Eukaryota; Metazoa; Chordata; Mammalia; Rodentia; Sciuridae. The record is from RNAcentral.
AGACUGCUGCCCACAGCCCACGGGAACGGAGCCUGAGAGGCACACGCGUGUGUGGCACCUGCACAGGGCCCCGCGCAGAGCAGGUGCCCCAGACGUGCCAGCCGCGAGCCACGGGGGUGGGGCAGCAGGCACCCAUGCUGUCCACUGGCGCCCACAUUCCGCGGGAAGGUGGUAGUCUGGCCAGAGCUCUACUCUCAUUAGGAAGCAGCAGGGAAACUGAACUCUGGGAAGAGACAAAGCAAAGUGGAGCACAUGCACACAAAUCUGUCAAGAAUCAGAAGCCUUGGGGCUGCAGCGGGCAGACCUCCCAGUGCUGUGGAGACACUGGUCCAGGCCCAAGAAGCCCAGGCUUGGU